This 564-nucleotide ribosomal RNA is filed under the name uncultured bacterium. RNAcentral's name for it is "bacterial SSU rRNA". It matches the Rfam family "Bacterial small subunit ribosomal RNA", at positions 338 to 916 of the family's 1533-position model. The record is from RNAcentral.
CCUACGGGAGGCAGCAGUGGGGAAUCUUGCGCAAUGGGCGAAAGCCUGACGCAGCAACGCCGCGUGCGGGAAGAAGGCCUUCGGGUUGUAAACCGCUUUCAGAAGGAACGAAAAUGACGGUACUUUCAGAAGAAGGUGCGGCCAACUACGUGCCAGCAGCCGCGGUGACACGUAGGCACCAAGCGUUGUCCGGAUUUAUUGGGCGUAAAGAGCUCGUAGGCGGUUCGGUAAGUCGGGUGUGAAAACUUUGGGCUCAACCCAAAGCGUGCAUUCGAUACUGUCGUGACUAGAGUUCGGUAGGGGAGCGGGGAAUUCCUAGUGUAGCGGUGAAAUGCGCAGAUAUUAGGAGGAACACCGGUGGCGAAGGCGCCGCUCUGGGCCGAAACUGACGCUGAGGAGCGAAAGCGUGGGUAGCAAACAGGAUUAGAUACCCUGGUAGUCCACGCCGUAAACGUUGGGCACUAGGUGUGGGUCUCAACCAACGAGAUCCGCGCCGUCGCAAACGCAUUAAGUGCCCCGCCUGGGGAGUACGGCCGCAAGGUUAAACCUCAAAGGAAUUGACGG